GAAUGUAAGAUGAGAGAAAGUCCUGAGGCAGAGAAGUGGAGAGAAGUUGCUGCUUGAGCUUGAGAAAGAAUGGUGGCAGAGUACAUGCGUGGAAGUGCUACCAUAGCUGCUCUGAAAUCAGAGGAAAGUGGAAUUAUAAGAAGACCCCAUCUGGCAAGGCUCAUAAAGGAGAACAACUCUUAUGGAAUACAUCCAAGAUAUAUAUAUACGUCUUUGAAGAAAGACAUCACUCAACUGUGAAAGAUCACCAUGACCCCUGCUUUCAUUUCAUCAAAAAACUUAGUCCAUCAGCUCAGUUACCCGUUAGCCUUGCAUGGGAAUUGACUCAGAGCUUCUGCAAGAU
Long non-coding RNA from Gorilla gorilla gorilla (western lowland gorilla), 343 nucleotides. RefSeq lists it as uncharacterized. The transcript has 3 exons. Lineage: Eukaryota; Metazoa; Chordata; Mammalia; Primates; Hominidae. The record is from RefSeq and is a predicted model, not a curated record.